CAUGNGUAGCGGUGAAAUGCGUAGAUAUAUGGAGGAACACCAGUGGCGAAAGCGGCUCUCUGGUCUGUCACUGACGCUGAGGCUCGAAAGCGUGGGUAGCGAACAGGAUUAGAUACCCUGGUAGUCCUCGCCGUAAACGAUGAGUGCUAGGUGUUAGGCCCUUUCCGGGGCUUAGUGCCGGAGCUAACGCAAUAAGCACUCCGCCUGGGGAGUACGACCGCAAGGNUGAAACUCAAAGGAAUUGACGGGGGCCCGCACAAGCGGUGGAGAAUGUGGUUUAAUUCGAAGCAACGCGAAGAACCUUACCAGGUCUUGACAUCCCGAUGCUAUUCUUAGAGAUAGGAAGUUACUUCGGUACAUCGGAGACAGGUGGUGCAUGGUUGUCGUCAGCUCGUGUCGUGAGAUGUUGGGUUAAGNNNNNNAANNGAGCGCAACCCUUAUUGUUAGUUGCCAUCAUUAAGUUGGGCACUCUAGCGAGACUGCCGGUAAUAAACCGGAGGAAGGUGGGGAUGACGUCAAAUCAUCAUGCCCCUUAUGACCUGGGCUACACACGUGCUACAAUGGUCGGUACAACGAGUUGCGAGCCGGUGACGGCAAGCUAAUCUCUGAAAGCCGAUCUCAGUUCGGAUUGGAGGCUGCAACUCGCCUCCAUGAAGUCGGAAUCGCUAGUAAUCGCGGAUCAGCACGCCGCGGUGAAUACGUUCCCGGGCCUUG
RNAcentral lists this ribosomal RNA (714 nucleotides) under uncultured bacterium. RNAcentral describes it as "bacterial SSU rRNA". It matches the Rfam family "Bacterial small subunit ribosomal RNA", at positions 670 to 1383 of the family's 1533-position model. The record is from RNAcentral.